This 253-nucleotide ribosomal RNA is filed under the name uncultured bacterium. RNAcentral describes it as "partial 16S ribosomal RNA". It matches the Rfam family "Bacterial small subunit ribosomal RNA", at positions 524 to 776 of the family's 1533-position model. The record is from RNAcentral.
UACAGAGGGUGCAAGCGUUAAUCGGAAUUACUGGGCGUAAAGCGUGCGCAGGCGGCUUUGCAAGACAGAUGUGAAAGCCCCGGGCUCAACCUGGGAAUUGCAUUUGAAACUGGAAAACUAGAGUACGGCAGAGGGGGAUGGAAUUCCGCGUGUAGCAGUGAAAUGCGUAGAUAUGCGGAGGAACACCAAUGGCGAAGGCAAUCCCCUGGGCCUGUACUGACGCUCAUGCACGAAAGCGUGGGGAGCAAACAGG